CCUACGGGUGGCAGCAGUAGGGAAUAUUGCUCAAUGGGGGAAACCCUGAAGCAGCAACGCCGCGUGGAGGAUGAAGGUUUUAGGAUUGUAAACUCCUUUUGUUAGAGAAGAUUAUGACGGUAUCUAACGAAUAAGCACCCGCUAACUCAGUACAAGCAGCCGCGGGAAUCAGGAGGGUUCAAGCGUUAAUAGGAAUCACUUGGCGUAAAGAGUGCGUAGGCGGGGUAAUAAGUCAGAUGGGAAAUCCUUUAGGUUAACUACAGAACUGCAUUUGAAACUGUUACUCUGGAGUGUGGGAGAAGUAUGUGGAAUGCGUGGUGUAGGGGUGAAAUGCGUAGAUAUCAAGAGGAAUACUCAUUGCGAAGGCGACCUGCUGGAACAUUACUGACGCUGAUGCACGAAAGCGUGGGGAGCGAACAGGAUUAGAUACCCCAGUAGUC
Molecule: ribosomal RNA, 440 nt
Filed under: uncultured bacterium
Lineage: Bacteria
Description: partial 16S ribosomal RNA
Rfam family: Bacterial small subunit ribosomal RNA
Source: RNAcentral